Long non-coding RNA from Oncorhynchus keta (chum salmon), 1680 nucleotides. RefSeq lists it as uncharacterized. The record is from RefSeq and is a predicted model, not a curated record. Lineage: Eukaryota; Metazoa; Chordata; Actinopteri; Salmoniformes; Salmonidae. The transcript has 3 exons.
CAGUUUGGAGGAAGAAGGCUACCUUGACCUGUCAAAUUCUAUCCACCUCUUCUGUGUGGGAAAUGUGUUCCUACCUCGUCUGCGGGCAGAUCUGCAGCAUUUCACAGAGAGUUGGAAUAAUCCCCCUUUGAAUACAGAGGCGAACCUGACACCUCACCAGCUGUUGCUUUAGCACUACACAACGGAUUCAAAUGAUCAAGUCAUCAUCAAGCUUCAAGUGGUUAUAUCAGCUGUAUUGAUGAACACCUCCCGCAUCUGAACAGGCUGACACAGAGGGCACAGCAUUAUCAUAGGUAUGAUUUGAUGUGAGAGAGGAAGCCAGUCCCGUCAUCGCCACCUCACCCGCUCUUAAGAUAACCUUCGGGCCAACUGGGGGCCCAAGGCUGGUUAGGAGACACCGCUAGAGACUCUAUGUAAUUGUGAUGAACUGAGAGAAUAUUAGGGUAGCCCUGUAAUUCAUUAAUCAUAUGCUGUCUGCCUUUGUUCUUACCUCUCUCCCAACCUCGUCUUUCUUACUCGGUUUUUAUGCACACCAUAUGUGCAUUAAAGUACAGAAUGAACUUGUAUUUAUAAUAUAACAUCACAAUUAUCAUAAUUAUAAUGCAUUUAUGUAUUUAGAACACCUGGAUAAUGAACAUUUCACAUUCUCCGCUGGUUGAAAUUAAGUAUCUCAUUGAAAUACUAUCCUGUGUCCUCAGAUGAAUGCAGAUGAAGUUAGAUAGGAAGUGUAGUGUACUGUUUUUUUCCUUGUAUAUAUGAAUUACAAAUCAGCCUUUACUUAAAUAAUGUUUCUAGUCUAUUGCAUAGUUACAAUGUGUAAUCAUUGAUGUCCCAGGAGCAGGAGUGUUAAACACUGUUGAAGUGUAUAAUUGUAAUACAUACAUGCAGACACAGCAUAUAUUCAAUGUGCACAUCCAUAGGCAUACAGUUAUUUUUAUCCUCCACUACAUAAUAAGCAAGUAAAUAGUUAGCUAGCUAUGUUACUUCAGCUGCAUUGCAAGGCAAGCUUACACAAUUGUACAUUCAAUUUGCAGUAAAUGCUAUCUAUUAGCCAGCUAGAUUCUUUACAUCCACUGUUUCCCAUGACGACAGCCUGGUUUCCUGGUUUUCUCAGGAAGUCCCUAAAACAUUAAACAACACGAAUUACAAUUUCAUACUUAUGUCAUAACACUAGCUAGCUGGCUAAUGUUAGAUAGUCAGCUAACUUGCUAAAUAGCGAUUUUCGUAAAUGAACUUUGACAAAAAAAUAUGCACAAUCUACAUUUAACUAACAUAUUCCUCUCUAUUGUAAAUGUUUUUGCUUGACCCGUUAUGACGUUAUAUUUACUUGCAUUUGCUUCCACCGUAAUGUUUUGUCAGCCAUCUUUGCUGAAGAAAGUCACCGGCGACGGAUGGCUCGCGUCAAAUUCGUCAUUGGAACCACCCGAUAUGAUUCGUCAUAUGAAAACCUUGGGACCCAAAUCCAUAAUGAGUUCUCUAACUCCCCCUUGUGGUGGUCUGGAGCAAUGAAGCCAUGACGCUGGAUACCUCUGAGUCCCGCAGUGUAAGCUCACAUCUUUUAAAGGAGCAACCACUGUAUGUUGUUAUCUUAGGUCUCUUUAUGUAGUGUCUCUCGUCGUGAUGUAUGUUUUGUCCUAUAUUUUUAUUUACUUAAUCCUUGUUUUUAAUCCCCAGCCCCCG